Molecule: small nucleolar RNA, 120 nt
Organism: Panthera pardus (leopard)
Lineage: Eukaryota; Metazoa; Chordata; Mammalia; Carnivora; Felidae
Source: Ensembl
AGCACUUUAUUUCCCACAUUCUUGGUUACACUGUAGAGUGCAGAAAAAUUGCUGGUUCUUUCCGUGGCACGGCUCAUUUUGUGCCAUUCUGCUGUUGCUGUAUGGAGUUAAGAAACAUAA